UUGAUGUUAAGUCUGUUUAUUGAGAGGCCACGGCCUCUUUGCCGAGAUUGACAGACACAGAAAAAGGGUGCAAGAAAGAAACACGAUAUUAAAGGAAAUUCAUUUAAUAUUUCUGAAUAAUAGUAAUAAAAAGAGUCAUGCACAUGAUUCAGUCGUUUCGAAUCAGUUCAGCUGUAUCACAAAUACAGACAUGAAUCUUUACACUCAUUGAUAUAUCGCCUCCAAAAAGCCCAGUAACUGAAUGAAAUGUGUCAACUAAUAUCCAAUAAAUCACUUUGUUUAUCCCUACAGUAGUGUAAUAUGUCUUAGACGCCAUGCUUUCUACAGGAUCAUCAAUUAGAUUUAACCUGGGGCCAAAUUUUCACACAACAAAUACUGUUUCAGAUAGUGUUUAGUAAACACCAUAUAGAAAAACUGGGGGGGGAUCUGAAUGGUAUCAAAUUUUAGUGGAAAAUGAUUACAUUACAUUACACUGAAUGAAAUGUUUUAUUUUAAAAACAAUAUUAGACUUGCAUUUCAUGUGGUCAGUCUAUCUAGGGUAUAAAAUAUUCGCUUCAUACACCCUUCCUGCUAAUACACCCUUACUGCCACAAACACCAUGUGGUAGAAAAACAGAGCCAAAUGUAAUGCAAUAUAACUUAAGAUAUUUACCCAAGUUAGAUAAAAGUGAAAGUAGUCCCCAUUAAAACUACAACACAAAAUGUUGUCUUGUUUCAAAUAUGAAGUGCCAAUAGAGAUGUGCAUCUGGUUUCUGGUACCAGUUCCUCAAUUACAUACUGAAACUGCUACUGGCAGAUCAUAGGUGUGAACGCUAUGGUGAAGCACACACACACACACACACACCAAAGUGACAGAGUAUCCCUACAUGUAGUUAUACAUUUUCAAAUUUCUAGAUGGUAGGACAGCAUUCACAAUAUUACCCCCUUUAUUACAGAUUCUACAUAAUUUUAAUGUCAAUUUAAAAAAAAAAAAAAAAAAAAAUGAAGAAAAGGCUUUGGGGCAUUUGAUGAUCCUGGCUGCUGUGAAAGAGGCUCCAGUUGACCAGCUGAAGGAUCUAAAGUACAGCUUGAAAUCUUAAACGUUACUGGUUAUACAGCGAGUAAAAGCAUGGAGUGGCUUGUGCAACAGCGAUAGAUAAACUAAGCAUGUGUGAGUGCUUUCUGAUGAAUGCAAAACAUGACAAGUUCCCAGUGCAUAAAGUGAGUGUAUAAAAGACAAUAUAAAGGUCACGUUCUUCAGCAAAGACGUUCCAGUUCAGCUACACAGCAGUCUUACAGGUUGGUGUUUACACAGGAGCUGUUAUUGGGCCUCAGUCUAUU
Molecule: long non-coding RNA, 1319 nt
Organism: Ictalurus punctatus (channel catfish)
Lineage: Eukaryota; Metazoa; Chordata; Actinopteri; Siluriformes; Ictaluridae
Source: Ensembl